This 466-nucleotide ribosomal RNA is filed under the name uncultured bacterium. RNAcentral's name for it is "partial 16S ribosomal RNA". It matches the Rfam family "Bacterial small subunit ribosomal RNA", at positions 30 to 507 of the family's 1533-position model. The record is from RNAcentral.
CGACCGCUGGCGGCGUGCUUCACACAUGCACGUCGAACGGAAAGGCCCUGCUUUUGUGGGGUGCUCGAGUGGCGAACGGGUGAGUAACACGUGAGUAACCUGCCCUUGACUUUGGGAUAACUUCAGGAAACUGGGGCUAAUACCGGAUAGGAGCUCCUGCUGCAUGGUGGGGGUUGGAAAGUUUCGGCGGUUGGGGAUGGACUCGCGGCUUAUCAGCUUGUUGGUGGGGUAGUGGCUUACCAAGGCUUUGACGGGUAGCCGGCCUGAGAGGGUGACCGGCCACAUUGGGACUGAGAUACGGCCCAGACUCCUACGGGAGGCAGCAGUGGGGAAUAUUGCACAAUGGGCGGAAGCCUGAUGCAGCAACGCCGCGUGCGGGAUGACGGCCUUCGGGUUGUAAACCGCUUUCGCCUGUGACGAAGCGUGAGUGACGGUAAUGGGUAAAGAAGCACCGGCUAACUACGUG